UAUAAUUUAAAGUAAGGCCUGCCCACUGAAUUUUUGAAGGGCCGCAGUAUUUUGACUGUGCAAAGGUAGCAUAAUCAUUAGUUUUUUAAUUGAAAGCUGGAAUGAAGGGUUAAAUGAGAAAUUUACUGUYUUAAUUAAAAUUUUAUAGAAUUUUAUUUUUGAGUUAAAAAGCUCAAGUUAAAUAAAAGACGAGAAGACCCUAUAGAGUUUAAUUUUAAUUAAAAUUAAAUUUUUAGAAUUAAUAAUUUUUUUGAGUUUAAAAUUUGAUUGGGGGGAUUAAAAAAUUAGAUUAACUUUUUUUUAUUUU
RNAcentral lists this ribosomal RNA (307 nucleotides) under Rodolia cardinalis. Its description in RNAcentral is "partial 16S ribosomal RNA". The record is from RNAcentral. Lineage: Eukaryota; Metazoa; Arthropoda; Insecta; Coleoptera; Coccinellidae.